Molecule: long non-coding RNA, 468 nt
Organism: Nilaparvata lugens (brown planthopper)
Lineage: Eukaryota; Metazoa; Arthropoda; Insecta; Hemiptera; Delphacidae
Exons: 2
Source: RefSeq, a predicted model, not a curated record
CUUAAGCUUUGACUGUUUUAGAUCGAGGCACACCGGCGCUACGCACUUCGCUGCAAGUUCAGCCCUGACUCGCGACUGCUGGCCACUACGUCGGCCGAUGGCUCGGCGAGAGUGUGGCGCACGAAGGACUUCAGCCUCAAGCAAGUGUUCAAGCUGGACGGCCAGCGAUGGGUGUGGGAUGUCGCUUUCAGUGCUGACUCCCAGUAUAUCUUCACUGCAUCAUCCGACAACUUCGCGAGACUGUGGAAUGUAGAAAAAGGGACUGUUGAACGAGAAUACAAUGGACAUCAGAGGGCAGUUACAGCCCUUGCUUUGUGUGACGAAGUGGUUACUACUGAGGCGGUAGUCCCGUGAACAGCAACACUUCAACAAAUAAUUGAAUUUAUUAAUAAAUAGGCAUUUGUAUGCUUGUUUGUACGUGAAAAACUUGACAAAAGCCAAACUUUCUCUAUAGUUUGUAUAAAAUAA